GACGAACGCUGGCGGCGUGCUUAACACAUGCAAGUCGAGCGGUAAGGCCCUUUCGGGGGUACACGAGCGGCGAACGGGUGAGUAACACGUGGGUGACCUGCCCUCAGCUCUGGGAUAAGCCUGGGAAACUGGGUCUAAUACCGGAUAUGACUCCACGGCGCAUGUUGUGGGGUGGAAAGCCUUGUGUGGCUAGAGAUGGGCCCGCGGCCUAUCAGCUUGUUGGUGGGGUGAUGGCCUACCAAGGCGACGACGGGUAGCCGGCCUGAGAGGGCGACCGGCCACACUGGGACUGAGACACGGCCCAGACUCCUACGGGAGGCAGCAGUGGGGAAUCUUGCGCAAUGGGCGAAAGCCUGACGCAGCGACGCCGCGUGAGGGAUGACGGCCUCGG
Molecule: ribosomal RNA, 391 nt
Filed under: uncultured bacterium
Lineage: Bacteria
Description: bacterial SSU rRNA
Rfam family: Bacterial small subunit ribosomal RNA
Source: RNAcentral